GUGGCACUGGCUGAAGAUUCUAAUCAAUGCAAUUGUAUAAAUCUGACUUAGGCACCUUUGUAUACAAUCUUACCCAAUACCAUUUUUCAUCUGUUUCAGAUAAUCCUGAUUUAAACCCAUAACUGCCAGUCUUGAGCUGCAGCAGCACACUGGGGUGGUAUGACAUUCUUCAACUUAGAGUCCAUCAGAAGAAAAACAGAAGGAGCAAAUCGUUAGCAGUUCCAUCUAAGGGAUAUUUGGUCUGGAGGAUGAGGGCUCAGAGGAUAAAACAACAUCUGAGAAGUGCGCAGGGACAUGAAUAUCUCCCUCAUGGAGACCUUAGUGCUAUGCUGGGCUGUUGCUUGUCCGCAGCAUUUCUUCAGUGUGUAAGAUGCCUGAGAAGAGGCGUCUGGAAGAGAAGGGUUUCUGAAUAAAAAUGGGUCACAGAUUUAGUGGAAGAUCA
RNAcentral lists this long non-coding RNA (442 nucleotides) under Anser brachyrhynchus (Pink-footed goose). RNAcentral's name for it is "lncRNA (ENSABRG00000003297.1)". Lineage: Eukaryota; Metazoa; Chordata; Aves; Anseriformes; Anatidae. The record is from RNAcentral.